UCAGACGCGAUUUCGAAUGAAUUGCGAUAUUUCGCAUAAUCAUGUUUCAGAUGGAAAUUGAAACAUCGCCGUAGCCGCACGGCCAACGGUCUUAUCUUUAAGUUUAAUUAUCGGUCGGUUCACCGUCAAAAACUAACAGUGCAAAGUCGUGUCUCCGCGUCUCACGCCGUACGUUCGUGAGACGGAGACAGCAGAUUAUUUUUACGAUUUCGAAAGACUGUUGUUGUUUUUUUUUUUUUUAUAAUAAACUAUAAUAGCACAAUGCCGCGGUGUCCGUCGACGAUGCGUACGGAAUGUACUUUAUAGCGUAUAAAAUGCCGCUCGGAAACGCUGUUAUAAUAUCAAAUAACGGCUGGCAAAAUUACCGUCCGGUCGAACGAAAACGAAACCUAUACCCGUAAUGCCUACUGCCUAUUAUACUAUUUCUGAAGCUCGGUUGAAAAAGGACCAUUUUCGUUUUCUGGUGAAAACGAGUUACAUGGCCAAUCAUAUACAAUUUUAUAUGCUUUUUCCAGUGGUAAAAGUGCGUACCCCAAUAAACAUUAUUGCGAGAUUUGAGAAGACCAAUGUUGCUAGAAAAAUUACUAUUUCAAUAUCAAAAAGACCCGGAAAUGUGUUUUAUUCUUAAUGUUCCGUAAUCGGUUAUCGGUGAGAUUCGCCUUUUUCGACCCAAACUCCAGAUUUAUAUAGCAGUGUACACACGCGGAGGUUAAAGUUAGAUUCAUAUAUAUGUAAAUUACUUAUCUGAGACCAAGAGAAGACCGAGAGGACGGCCAAGGCAACGGUGGUGACAGAGUUACCGAGGUAGGGUUACCUGCUCCUGAUAAUACGGGAUCGGUCUUGUUAGGUGUUCGUAAAUACUUUUCGACGGACGUGCUUUGAAUAAUUUGGAAAUACUUGUGUAUCGUAUUUUUAUUCCGGAAUGUAAAAUAAUUUUGGCUGUGUUAAACCAUUAUAACAUAAUAACAAUAUUUCCGUAUUUUACGGUUUUAAAUUUUAAUUGUUUCUCGAAUAACAUUUUACAAUUAAUUUCUACCUGUUCGUAAUAAGAUUUCUUCAAAAAAUAUUAUCAUAAUUUAAUAACCUAUCGUAUUAAGAAUAUUAUCGAUCUGGCUCUAAAUUCAACCUAAAAAGCUAAUUUACUAAAAUAAUUAAAUAAGUAAUAUGGUAGUCGGAAAUUCUUGAAUAUUUUCAAAUUAAAUAUCUAUAAAUAAAUUUAAAUUUUAUUUGUAAUUUAUUGUUAAUAAACAUUUUUCCAAGUAUGUCAAUUGUAUUGAAAAGUAAGUAUAUUUUUUUAUAAUAAUUAUUUUUUAUUGCUGUACAGGUAAGAU
Cinara cedri is the source of this 1331-nucleotide non-coding RNA. Lineage: Eukaryota; Metazoa; Arthropoda; Insecta; Hemiptera; Aphididae. The record is from the annotation of a GenBank genome assembly.